ACUGAGGCAGGAACUCUUGAGAGGUGGGAUGAGCCAGGACACCAGGGUUGUGGAGAGCACCAGAGGACCCUGAAGAGCCAGGAAAGGGCUCUCUCUGGAGCUGCCAGAACUACCUCGUCCUCCUAAGCUUGACCUGGGCUUCUGGCUUACAGAAUAGAGAGAGAGAGAAGGCAUUAAUUACCUUGAGCGUGUCAUGGUCCUAAGGCCCAGGUGCCCGAGCUCCAUAGUGAACCCAUGGCUGCGUCAGCAGAGAACCCCUGAGCAUUUCACCAAGAACCACUGCGUGUGGGCCCCAAGUUUGCUGUUUCCUGAGAUGGCUUCAUUUUCAGCAGAAA
Molecule: long non-coding RNA, 335 nt
Organism: Mastomys coucha (southern multimammate mouse)
Lineage: Eukaryota; Metazoa; Chordata; Mammalia; Rodentia; Muridae
Exons: 2
Source: RefSeq, a predicted model, not a curated record